UUCACCGGGACGCGGCCCGCGUCUCUCUGAUCCCACCGGGGCGAGGUUGCACCCGGUUCAAGCCCGGCGGUGAUC
RNAcentral lists this transfer RNA (75 nucleotides) under Deinococcus sedimenti. RNAcentral's name for it is "tRNA-Gly". Lineage: Bacteria; Thermotogati; Deinococcota; Deinococci; Deinococcales; Deinococcaceae. The record is from RNAcentral.